This 284-nucleotide unclassified non-coding RNA is filed under the name Amanita bisporigera (eastern North American destroying angel). RNAcentral describes it as "partial internal transcribed spacer region". The stretch from base 1 to 46 matches the Rfam family "Eukaryotic small subunit ribosomal RNA", at positions 1786 to 1831 of the family's 1831-position model. The record is from RNAcentral. Lineage: Eukaryota; Fungi; Basidiomycota; Agaricomycetes; Agaricales; Amanitaceae.
AAGUCGUAACAAGGUUUCCGUAGGUGAACCUGCGGAAGGAUCAUUACUGAAAUGAACCUUGAGGCUGUCGCUGGCCCAUCUGGGCAUGUGCACGUCUCUGGUCAUUACCAAUUCCACCUGUGCACACUUGUAGACACUUGGGAAUGAGAGACUUUGACCGGUCUCUUGAGGGAAUUGAACUCUGGGUGUCUAUGCCAUUUUAUCAAACACUAGUUGCAUGUUUAUAGAAUGACGAUUUGAUUGAAUAUAAAAUACAACUUUCAACAACGGAUCUCUUGGCUCUC